UACGGAGGAUGCAAGCGUUAUCCGGAUUUUAUUUGGGUUUAAAGGGUGCGCAGGUUGUUUGAUAAGUCAGUGGUGAAAGUCUGUCGCUUAACGGUAGGAUUGCCAUUGAUACUGUUAGACUUGAAUAUGGAUGAGGUAGGCGGAAUGUGUAGUGUAGCGGUGAAAUGCAUAGAUAUUACACAGAACACCGAUUGCGAAGGCAGCUUACUAAUCCAUCAUUGACGCUGAGGCACGAAAGCGUGGGGAUCAAA
RNAcentral lists this ribosomal RNA (251 nucleotides) under uncultured prokaryote. RNAcentral describes it as "partial 16S ribosomal RNA". It matches the Rfam family "Bacterial small subunit ribosomal RNA", at positions 524 to 772 of the family's 1533-position model. The record is from RNAcentral.